AUAUAUAUAUCAAACUUCUCUUGUUGAGUGGUUUGGAUGUGGGGGUUUGCUGGCCUCUGUAAAAGGGGUUCAGCUCCUCUGAAAUGCAUUAGCAGAACAACCUGUUCAUUGGUGUGAUAACUAUCUACGCUAUUGAAUGAGAGGGGCAGUUCAGCUCUCUAACAGUCCUUGGACAAUUCAUCAUUA
RNAcentral lists this unclassified non-coding RNA (186 nucleotides) under uncultured Cortinarius. RNAcentral describes it as "sequence contains ITS2". RNAcentral also lists the same sequence under 1 other name. The record is from RNAcentral. Lineage: Eukaryota; Fungi; Basidiomycota; Agaricomycetes; Agaricales; Cortinariaceae.